AGGCGGCAGGGGGGACGUCCUCUAUUUCUGCAGGCUUCUGUGUGGGAGGAAGAACACAUUUCUUAGCUCUUUGCUGUGGCAAAGAAACCUUCCUCAUGCCAAGUGUAACGCUUCUCUCCAGCAGCCUGCAGAAAGCCCUAAGUGACAGCAGAGCAAAGCGCUCGGACGGUCCCUGCUGCCGCCAGCUUCCCUGUGAAUAGCUGUGAAAAUAAUGAGAAUUGUGUUAGUACUGUGCUGCUGCUUUGGCAAAGGCUGAGCCUUCCUCCGGGGAGGAAUGGCUGGGAAAGAGACAAGCAGACCGUCUUGCUGUUCUCCUGCAACAGGAGCUUGGGACAGCAAGCAGGGCUGCUUCUUUCCAGCAGCUGGCGAGGGAUAAGCAAAGAGGGCUCACGAAGUGGGAAUUCAUCACAGCAGAGCCCCAGCACUCGUCCUGUGCUGAGUUGCACCAGUGCUGUGCUUACCAUGCCAGGAACAUCUGAGGAUGGGAGAAAUCCAGGGCCUUUGGUUCAGGAAAUGUUGUGUGUUUUAUUUGGGCUUGGGCUCCGAGUUCCCCCAGGAGCUGAGCCAUAACCACAGCCACAGUCAGAAAUGUGGGGACUUCCACGGAGCUGCCACUGCUCUGACAUUAUCUGGGGAGUCCUGCCAUCUCUCGCCAGCUGCCUCGGCUUUGUUGCUGAAAAGCUCUCUUCUGUGAAACAUAGGGAAAAUCAGAGGAUAUAGGAGUGGCUGAACUGCGGUGAUUGGGGUGCUAGUUGGAGGAGAGGUGCCUGGAGAGGAAGGCCUGGCAGCAUCUUAUUUCUGAGCAUAGGAUUGAUUGGGUCAGCUUCAUUGUGCAAAUUGUGAAUGCUGCCGUUGCGAGGAUGGAGGCUGUGAUGGAAGCAGGGCUGGGCUGCAUGCUGGUCCCACACAGGUACUGGAGGCCUUCCUGCUGAUCUGAAGGUACCAGAGCUCGGUCUGCUGGGGAGCUGCCAUGUAUGUGGUUCUACCAUUUCUUUGUGUCAGAUCCGACCAUGGCUUUUUUUUUUUUU
Gallus gallus (chicken) is the source of this 1028-nucleotide long non-coding RNA. NCBI's taxonomy places the organism in Eukaryota, Metazoa, Chordata, Aves, Galliformes, Phasianidae. The record is from Ensembl.